This 84-nucleotide transfer RNA is filed under the name Candidatus Saccharimonadota bacterium. Its description in RNAcentral is "tRNA-OTHER". It matches the Rfam family "tRNA". Rfam says of the family: Transfer RNA (tRNA) molecules are approximately 80 nucleotides in length. The record is from RNAcentral. Lineage: Bacteria; Candidatus Saccharimonadota.
CGGGGGUUGGGUGUAGUGGUAACGCUACGGGUCGCGACGUAAGAUAAACCCGUGACGCUUGUUCGAUUCAAGCACCCCCGACCA